UACGUAGGUGGCAAGCGUUAUCCGGAUUUAUUGGGCGUAAAGCGAGCGCAGGCGGUUGCUUAGGUCUGAUGUGAAAGCCUUCGGCUUAACCGAAGAAGUGCAUCGGAAACCGGGCAACUUGAGUGCAGAAGAGGACAGUGGAACUCCAUGUGUAGCGGUGGAAUGCGUAGAUAUAUGGAAGAACACCAGUGGCGAAGGCGGCCUGCUGGGCUUUUACUGACGCUGAGGCUCGAAAGUGUGGGGAGCAAACAGG
RNAcentral lists this ribosomal RNA (253 nucleotides) under uncultured Lactobacillus sp. Its description in RNAcentral is "partial 16S ribosomal RNA". It matches the Rfam family "Bacterial small subunit ribosomal RNA", at positions 524 to 776 of the family's 1533-position model. The record is from RNAcentral. Lineage: Bacteria; Bacillati; Bacillota; Bacilli; Lactobacillales; Lactobacillaceae.